Molecule: long non-coding RNA, 190 nt
Organism: Episyrphus balteatus (marmalade hoverfly)
Lineage: Eukaryota; Metazoa; Arthropoda; Insecta; Diptera; Syrphidae
Exons: 2
Source: RefSeq, a predicted model, not a curated record
UCAGGAAUAAAGUAUAUGGAGUAAUGAUAGACCAUGACUACAACUAUAUGUGUGCGAAGUUUCAAUCAUUUUCGUAAACACAAUUUUGAGAUAACGACUAACUACAAGCUACACCAUGUUAAAUCAAGAAACUUGCGAAAAACCUCAAAACACAGUGGAGAAUCAGAUAUCUCAUAGACCUGAUCGAUGU